GGGUUUCUUCCAUGUCCCUUUUUUAUUUUCAUUUAUUUUCAAUGAUCGUUUAAGAGAGAAAAUUAGCCUGAAUGGCCUGAUUAAAUUAUAUCACAAAAUAAGAAUUCAUUACUAUAAAGCACUAAGCAUUAUGUUUCUCGUAGUAUGAAGAAGUGUUGUAAACAAGACUAUUUUCCAUUGAACAGAGGAUCUAUCACAAACAAUCUCUCUACCAGAGGUAAGGGUAAGGUUUGCG
RNAcentral lists this long non-coding RNA (235 nucleotides) under Capsicum annuum. Its description in RNAcentral is "long non-coding RNA (CANN_LNC017162)". Lineage: Eukaryota; Viridiplantae; Streptophyta; Magnoliopsida; Solanales; Solanaceae. The record is from RNAcentral.